Ornithorhynchus anatinus (platypus) is the source of this 138-nucleotide small nucleolar RNA. The record is from RefSeq and is a predicted model, not a curated record. Lineage: Eukaryota; Metazoa; Chordata; Mammalia; Monotremata; Ornithorhynchidae.
UGCCUCUCAGAGUCGUACCUGGAGAGUUUCCAGUACUCUACCAGUCCCAACUACAGGAGGGAGAAUCAAGCAGAGGCCUAUCCAUUCCACUCCUAGCUUGGGCAGAGGGUAGCGAGUGGAAGGCAACCUGCUACAAGU